GGAGUUAGCCGGUGCUUCUUCUGCGAGUAACGUCACAGCUAGCAGGUAUUAACUACUAACCUUUCCUCCUCGCUGAAAGUGCUUUACAACCCGAAGGCCUUCUUCACACACGCGGCAUGGCUGCAUCAGGGUUUCCCCCAUUGUGCAAUAUUCCCCACUGCUGCCUCCCGUAGGAGUCUGGGCCGUGUCUCAGUCCCAGUGUGGCUGAUCAUCCUCUCAGACCAGCUAGGGAUCGUUGCCUAGGUGAGCCAUUACCUCACCUACUAGCUAAUCCCACCUGGGCUUAUCCAUCAACGCAAGGACCGAAGUUCCCCUGCUUUCCCCCGUAGGGCGUAUGCGGUAUUAGCAGUCGUUUCCAACUGUUAUCCCCCACAAAUGGGCAAAUUCCCAGGCAUUACUCACCCGUCCGCCGCUCGUCAUCUUCAAAAGCAAGCUUUUGAAAUGUUACCGCUCGACUUGCAUGUGUUAGGCCUGCCGCCAGCGUUCAAUCUGAGCCAGGAUCAAACUCUGA
RNAcentral lists this ribosomal RNA (511 nucleotides) under uncultured bacterium. RNAcentral's name for it is "partial 16S ribosomal RNA". The record is from RNAcentral.